CUUUCUACCAAAUAAAAUCGCCAGGGAAAAAAUAUUUAUUGUUUCAAUGCUUUACUGUGCACUCCAAGAGUCGCUUCUUAAAUUCCCCCAAUAACUGUCAGCAUAGACGAUUCACAUAACGUGUCUUCCUCAACGGGCUUGCUCUUUCAAUUCUCAUGCCAUACAAACAAUACCAGCCGGAUUUUGCGUAUAACAUGGGCUUGCUCUGUGAAGCUUUGCAAUUCACUAUUUUGCUGGUGGUAGUUGUUGUGGGUAAUUUUAUUGUUUCUAUUUUACCUUUCUGAUUGCAACUUCAUUGUUCAAAUUCGUCUAAUUGAGUCCUUUAGUCAAAUCAAUUAUUGGCUAAUUCUCGUGUUUAAUUACUCUUUCCAGACUUUAGCAAUUCACUUAUUGGCUAAUUCUCACAUUGAAUUCCUCUUCUAGGUUCUAACAAUCGCUCUCUACGAUCAACUAUUGUUUCUCCCCUUCAACAAUUUGUGCUUUCUGCUUCAACUGCUUUUUCUAAAUUUGUUUAGUUGUUUUUGGUGAAACACUUUACUUAUCAUUAUUAUCACAUCCAAUAAUUCGUUAUUCCCUCUUGUGUUCUGAUUAUUUAUAUCUCAAAUAGGAUUCAUGUUUUCUUUUUCUGUCGACACAUGAUAUACAUGGUUAAUUAUUAAUUUUUGACUCAAUUGAUUGAAACUCCUGAUUUUCAGGUUGUUAAUGACUUCUUCUAUGGUGGAAAAUCUGUUUUUAAUUAGGAAAAAAUGAAAGCUGAACUUUUAGAGUAGAUGUAUCAUCAGAAUGCACCAACAACUUCCCCUAAAUUCAUAGAGCUUGCUUCGAUAGGGAUUAUGAUAGCGUCAAAAUCCACAUAGUCAUCAAUGUUUCUUUUGCUUAUCUUUUUUUGUUGUUAAUUUUAGACGACUGUUGGUUCAGAUCUUAUUGUAUACCAUUCUUUUUUUGUUUAUUUGAUUUGGAUGUAGGAUAUUAAUGUACGUAUUUUUUUGGACGCAAGAAGAGUAUGUCUAAGGUAUGGAGAAACUCUUGCAAGUUUCUGUUACUUCAGUAUGAAUGUUGGAUGAUUUAAAGGUGGUCCUGACAUUUCUUUUUUGUUCCUUGUGUCUCUGGAGUUCUCCCAGAACUUCUCCUCCUUACUUUCUUGUCCUGGUGCUAUAAGUAAUCCUGCAAUUUAAUAGUCUGUAUUGUAUGCAUUUUUAGGGACUAAGAAAGUUUUAAAGUUGUUGUAAUUAACUCUGAGUUGUAUGCUUCAGUGGAACUGUUUCAAACUCAUGUCUAUCCAGUGAGUCUGCACCAGAGAAGAAAAGUGAGGCCAUUAUAUUUUCCAACGUUAAUGAAAUUGUCUUGGAAUAAUGAUGUUAAUUUCAAGAUCCGCGGGUUAAA
Molecule: long non-coding RNA, 1383 nt
Organism: Lycium ferocissimum
Lineage: Eukaryota; Viridiplantae; Streptophyta; Magnoliopsida; Solanales; Solanaceae
Exons: 2
Source: RefSeq, a predicted model, not a curated record